UGAAAUAUAACUGUUGACCUAAAUAAUUUCUCCACUAUAUUGUAGAUCUUAAGUUCCACAUCCUCUGUGAUCUCCGAUUGUCUCCGACGACCUCUGCUGACUAUAUCUUUGCAUGAACAAGAAGGAUGUUGGUAUCAACAAAAGUAUAUGGAAUCAAUAUUUAUUCCUAAAAAGAUUAAUCAAGGAGAUUCUUUGUUCCUUUUUAACCAUUCCUUUAUCAGUUCACACUGUGCUACAGAAGAUGUUGCAAAGAUUGGUGAAUGAAAUGGAGUCGUCUAAACCAAAGAACUAAAGAUUGUACACUUAUGAUGAAAUUUGUUUGUACACUUAUGAUGAACUUUGUUUGUAUUUUGAGGGUUAAUUUGUGUGGUUGAUACAUUAUUUACUAAUAUGUGUUUUGAUUA
Long non-coding RNA from Cucumis melo (muskmelon), 404 nucleotides. RefSeq lists it as uncharacterized. Lineage: Eukaryota; Viridiplantae; Streptophyta; Magnoliopsida; Cucurbitales; Cucurbitaceae. The transcript is spliced from 3 exons. The record is from RefSeq and is a predicted model, not a curated record.